This 506-nucleotide ribosomal RNA is filed under the name uncultured bacterium. RNAcentral describes it as "bacterial SSU rRNA". It matches the Rfam family "Bacterial small subunit ribosomal RNA", at positions 1 to 518 of the family's 1533-position model. The record is from RNAcentral.
CGACGUCUACGAGAGGUUAGUUGUAUAUGGCUCAGGACGAACGCUGGCGGCGUGCUUCAUACAUGCAAGUCGAACGAGAAUCUGGCUUCGGUCAGAGGAAAGUGGCGGACGGGUGAGUAAUGUGUAGAGAAUCUGCCCUUUAGUGGGGGACAACAGUUGGAAACGACUGCUAAUACCCCAUAUGCGCGUACUUGGAAUAGUAUUCGUGAAAACUCCGGUGCUAAAGGAUGAGUCUGCAUCUGAUUAGCUAGUUGGCGGUGUAAUGGACCACCAAGGCGACGAUCAGUAGCUGGUUUGAGAGGAUGAUCAGCCACAAUGGGACUGAGACACGGCCCAUACUCCUACGGGAGGCAGCAGUAGGGAAUUUUGCGCAAUGGGGGAAACCCUGAACCGCAGCAACGCCGCGUGAACGAAUAAGCCCUUCGGGGUGUAAAGUUCUGUCAGUAGGGACGAAACUUGACGGUACCUACAGAGGAAGCAUCGGCUAACUCCGUGCCAGCAGCCGC